RNAcentral lists this ribosomal RNA (522 nucleotides) under uncultured bacterium. RNAcentral describes it as "bacterial SSU rRNA". It matches the Rfam family "Bacterial small subunit ribosomal RNA", at positions 15 to 518 of the family's 1533-position model. The record is from RNAcentral.
GAUUAUGGCUCAGAACGAACGCUGGCGGCGCGCUUAAGCAUGCAAGUCGGACGGCAAGGGUUGUGCUUGCACAACUCCUAGGAGUGGCGGACUGGUGAGUAACGCGUGGGUGACCUGCCCUCGAGAUGGGGCUAGCCAUUAGAAAUAGUGGAUAAUACCGAAUACGCUCAUGACCCUGUAGGGAUAUGAGGAAAACAGGCUAACGGCCUGGCUCGAGGAUGGGCCCGCGUCCCAUUAGCUAGUUGGUGAGGUAACGGCCCACCAAGGCGACGAUGGGUAUCCGGCCUGAGAGGGUGUACGGACACAUUGGGACUGAGAUACGGCCCAAACUCCUACGGGAGGCAGCAGCUAAGAAUAUUCCGCAAUGGACGAAAGUCUGACGGAGCGAACGCCGCGUGGAUGAAAAGAAGGCCGGAAGGUUGUAAAAUCCUUUUGCUGAUGAAGAAUAAGUGUGGUAGGGAAUGACCGCAUGAUGACAUUAGUCGGUGAAUAAGCCCCGGCUAACUACGUGCCAGCAGCCGC